UACGUAGGGUGCGAGCGUUAAUCGGAAUUACUGGGCGUAAAGCGUGCGUAGGCGGCUAUGUAAGACGGAUGUGAAAUCCCUGGGCUUAACCUAGGAACUGCAUUUGUGACUGCAUUGCUGGAGUGUGGUAGAGGGAGAUGGAAUUCCGCAUGUAGCAGUGAAAUGCGUAGAUAUGCGGAGGAACACCAAUGGCGAAGGCAAUCUCCUGGACCUGCACUGACGCUCAUGCACGAAAGCGUGGGGAGCAAACAGG
Molecule: ribosomal RNA, 253 nt
Filed under: uncultured bacterium
Lineage: Bacteria
Description: partial 16S ribosomal RNA
Rfam family: Bacterial small subunit ribosomal RNA
Source: RNAcentral